This 1293-nucleotide ribosomal RNA is filed under the name Triticum aestivum (bread wheat). Its description in RNAcentral is "partial small subunit ribosomal RNA". Lineage: Eukaryota; Viridiplantae; Streptophyta; Magnoliopsida; Poales; Poaceae. The record is from RNAcentral.
AUGUCCAGAGCGGGAGGCAAGUUGAUGGCCUCCUCCGUCACGGAGGGGCAUAUCCAGAAGCUACGCAGCGCCGGAUACUUGUCCAGCGACAUCGCGCAUCGGCUCCCCGAAGAGGGAGAGCUCAUCCGCACCCCUAGGCCCCAUGAGAGGGUAGUAUUCCUUCCCCAUUUCCUCUGCGGACUAGGCUUCCCACUUCAUCCCUUUGUCCGGGGGCUCAUGUUCUACUACGGCCUAGAUUUCCAUGAUCUGGCCCCGAAUUUUAUUCUCAACAUCUCGGCGUUUAUCGUCGUGUGCGAGGGCUUCCUCUGCAUCCAGCCCCACUUCGGCUUGGGGCUCAAGACCUUCAGUGUCAAGCCGAAGGUUGUGAAGGGCAGCCAAGCGGAGUGCGGAGGCGCCAUGGUGGGCAGGAUGUCCCACGUUACGUGGCUGGAGGGCAUCUUUUUGGAAACCAUCAAGGGGUGGCAAUCGGGGUGGUUCUACAUCACCGAGCCGCGUGAUCCCGAAUGGGCAGCGACCCCCGAAUUCAGAUCCGGCAUCCCCACACGGCUCACCUCCUGGAAAGAGAGCGGCCGGAUUUGGGGCGAUCCAGAGGAGCUGACCGGACUCCAAGCCUACAUCCAAAAGCUGGUGGACAAGAAGCUCAAGCUUGUCAACAUAGUCCAGGUCAUGCUCAUCCGCCAGAUUCUCCCGUGCCAACGACGGGGCUUCAAUAUGUGGGAGUUCGAUCCGGCGCAGCACCAGACUUUGAAUGGGCUCUUCGACAAUACGUACGAAGAGGUCUGGAAGGUGCUGUUCAAAGGCGCCGAGGCUCCCGCAUCCGCUACCGAAGAUCGCGGAUUCAGCUCACAGCGUCCAGCUGACGAGGACUGGCUGAAGGAGGCCGCACAGCCUAUCUGUCCGGCCCCAUUGCCAGAGGACACAGCUGACGCCCGCCUGACGGGGCUGCUGGCUCCGGCACCCCACGUGGUGCCGGAGAAGAAGGCCAAGAAGAAGGCCACGGGGACUCGUAAGAGUUCCCGUUUUCAGGUGCUAUCGGAUGAUGAAUCCGAGGCCGACUCCUCCCACCAAGGCGAGGAGGAGAAGAAGAAAGCCUCUCCCCCAGCAGGGGGAGGGAAGAAAAGGAAGGCCUCCCCAACAAGGGAGGCCAAAGGGUCCAAGAGGGGAAAAACUCUUCCCUUGGACUGUUCCGCCAACGCCAGUGACGACGACGAGGACUGGCCUCCAAGGGCCAAGCCUCUGGCGAGAUCAGUCCGCCUAAGGAUGAUCUCCCCACUUCGUCGAGCGGGUCCUUAG